AUGAGUGGUGAUUGGUUUGUUACGGGUGGAUGGCUCUUUGCUCGCGCAACAACUUCCACCUGACAUACCUCUUCAGUUAUGUCUCAAGGCUUUUUUUGCCUUGAGCAUAUUGCGGUUUCAUGUGUUGCAUACCUAUUUGAUGGUAUUUAUUUGGUCGAUCGAUCGAAGUCCCUUUUCAUCUUGUGUUGCCUUUGUGAUGCAUGAUGAACCUUUGAAAUGGGCUCUAUGUCCCAUCGUGUUGGUGCAAAUGCAUCUAUGUUAUGGCCCAUUGAGCGAUACUUGGCAUCUUGGAUAUGGAACAUUAUGUGGGCAUAGAGUCUCUCAUGACUCUUGUUUGUCCUCUUCUCGUGUCCUUCAAAACGACUGUUCAUGUGCGCCUAGGCUCGGACCUGCGUGAUGUUCUUUGUCGAAGAGGAAUGC
Molecule: unclassified non-coding RNA, 420 nt
Filed under: Hainanecio hainanensis
Lineage: Eukaryota; Viridiplantae; Streptophyta; Magnoliopsida; Asterales; Asteraceae
Description: partial external transcribed spacer
Source: RNAcentral